This 374-nucleotide ribosomal RNA is filed under the name uncultured bacterium. RNAcentral describes it as "bacterial SSU rRNA". It matches the Rfam family "Bacterial small subunit ribosomal RNA", at positions 527 to 898 of the family's 1533-position model. The record is from RNAcentral.
GUAGGGGACGAGCGUUGUCCGGAUUCAUUGGGCGUAAAGCGCGCGUAGGCGGCUCGGAAAGUCGGUCGUGAAAUGCCGGGGCUCAACCCCGGGACUGCGUCCGAUACUUCCGGGCUGGAGGUAGGUAGGGGAGAUCGGAAUUCCUGGUGUAGCGGUGAAAUGCGCAGAUAUCAGGAGGAACACCGGUGGCGAAGGCGGAUCUCUGGGCCUUACCUGACGCUGAGGCGCGAAAGCUAGGGGAGCGAACAGGAUUAGAUACCCUGGUAGUCCUAGCCGUAAACGUUGGGUGCUAGGUGUGGGCGGACAUCGACCCCGUCCGUGCCGAAGCUAACGCAUUAAGCACCCCGCCUGGGGAGUACGGCCGCAAGGCUAAA